UGUGUACGUUUCCGUGCGAGAACCGCUGGACACCGGAAAUCAUGAUCUGUAAAUGGAAGUCAUCCAUUUCUUUUAGGUUCCUGUGCUCCAUCAGAAACCUUUCCCAUACCUUCUUCUUGUUAUCCUCCUAACAGCGUGUCUAUUAAACUUUUGGUUCCUUGGGAAUUACUCGGCCCGCAGCCCUGAUAAAGGAAGCCAAUCAGAACCCGGGUUUUAAUGAGUGGGGAUCACCAUUAUCUCAUUUUAAUUUGCAUUAAUCCAACAGCCCCGGCUCUCCUUUAUUCCUGUGUUGCUGUGUUCCUCUGGAAAAUCUUGCUUUUCUUUUCUUUUCAUGUUCAGCUUGGCUGUCCUGCCUCUCUCUAAAUUUACUUGUGUGUAUUAAUCUCUCUUCUGAUUGUUAUGUCAUUCUGAAUUGGACUUUACUGCGUGGUGUUGCUUUGGAUUUUUGUUUCUGUUUUUUUGUUUUCCGAGAAUGUGGUAUUGUUUUCUAACACCGUUUUUAGCACAUGUGCAAGCUAUUGAUUUUUGUCAUCCUGGUUUACUGGAAUUUACUCUAAGAUCUGCUUUCUGCCUCACUAGCUCUCAGGAAAAAUGAAUCUGAAAGUAAUUACGAUUUUAUCUUUUAUAUCUUAAUGUUGGUAUGUACUUUAUUUUCUUUUUAAAAUUUUGAUCCCGUUAUACAAAUCACUAACUUAUAGAGUUUGGCCAUGCUGUAUGUGCGUGUAUAUAGGCUUAUUAAGUCACACAAGAAUAAAUGACCAGAAUCUGCUCUGCAAAGACAUCUGUCUGCCUGAAGUCUUUUCCCUGAGUCUCAACUUCUCCAUUUGUGAAAGGAAGUGCAGAAACAAGGAAGACCAACAACAUCACCACAUACUGACAAAGCUCUGGAGCAUCUAGACCACACUGGAGUCUGAGUGUGUAUUGUGGCUCUCCAGAAAGUCUCCAGGCCUUCAGCAGCUGAUUGGAAGCACCAAGACAUUCACCUUUCGGACUGGGCAGCUACUGGGGUUCCAGAUUCUCCAGAUGUAGACAGGAAUUGUUAGACUAAGCCAAAUCAGUAAAUCCCAUUUUGCUACAUACACACAUACACACACAUUCUAUCAGUUAUGCUCUUAGAUAACCCUGAUAUAUGUAUGUGUAUGUAUGUAUAUACAAUAUAUAUCACACACAAACACACAUACACAUAUAUAUGUAUAUAUACAUAUAUCUUUAUGUACAUCCUGUGUUAUUGAGUAUCUUCAAUGGGCUAGGGAGUGCUUUCAUCUUGACAACUGAGCAAUUAAAAGAAAAAUUUUAAUUAAGCAUUAAAAAUUAAAAGCAUUAAAUAUAUUUUUUUUAAACUGAGUUCAUGAAACAACAUUGGAGCAAGUGGAGACAAAAUAAUCAGGUAGAAACUUGAGGAUGUGACCAUUUUUGAAGACACGUUAACUUCCAAAGCGGGAAGAAUCAAAGAGGAGGUAUACACUUUGAAACAGGAUCACUUGGAAGGUCUCCCGGGAGAAGGCGGCAUCUGUCUCGACCACAGAAGGGAAGGUGCAGGCCUCUGCAGGGAUAACACCAUAGAAUCUGGCGGACUGAAGCUAAGGUCCUGGGUGAGGACAUCACCACUGCCCGUGUCUAAAGAAGAGCAACAAGAAAAGUUACGUGGUUCCUCGAAGGAAACGGGAAAUGAGAACAGAGCCAGUUCAUAACAAACAGCAGGCUGAGAUUGGCAUUUGGGUGUCUUGUUUUUUUCUGGAAGAAGUCGGAUGGUACAGGUUUGUGGCAUUCUGGACAGCACACAGCACACGUCUCUUAACUAAGAUACCUCACAUGGCCACAGCAGCAUGGACAUAGUCACAGAACGCACUGAACACGAAACAAGUGGCUGUGUGCCAAUAAAACUUUAUUUGUGG
This 1895-nucleotide long non-coding RNA is filed under the name Mus pahari (shrew mouse). Its description in RNAcentral is "predicted gene 14264 (MGP_PahariEiJ_G0005619.1)". The record is from RNAcentral. Lineage: Eukaryota; Metazoa; Chordata; Mammalia; Rodentia; Muridae.